Long non-coding RNA from Anopheles gambiae (African malaria mosquito), 1273 nucleotides. RefSeq lists it as uncharacterized. Lineage: Eukaryota; Metazoa; Arthropoda; Insecta; Diptera; Culicidae. The record is from RefSeq and is a predicted model, not a curated record. The transcript has 2 exons.
UGACCUAGCUGGCAACCUUCGCGACGAGCAUGCACAUUUUUUACCAAACAAUGAUGACCCUCGCUUUCCCCGCAUAGGCUAACAAUAAACUAAAAAUGUACAUUUUACGUCUCGUGACAAAAUAAGAAAACAAUAGAGUCGUGCAGUGUGUUACGCACAGCUCUUCCCAGCCCAGACGAUGAUGACCCGGAAAUGGUACCGAUCGCCGUUAGCGAGUAAACCCAUCUUGAACGCUUGCACGCCGGGCGCGAAAAGAGCACUGGUUGACAUUAUCCGCCCAAGGAGUCGAAACAAAGCGAACGAAUGUGUCCGCCGGGCGCAGCGCACCGUUUGUGACACUCUCGCACCUGACUAAUGGUUUGGCUCGUUCGGAUCGCUCGUACCAAGCAACUAUCACUCCAGUUCUGCACCGCCCGUGUGAUCCCACACUGCCUUGCCCGCUGCCCUCGCUCGGCCUGGCCCGGAGGAUCGUAAAUGAUGACCGUGCAUUAAGGAUAGAUGGGUGAUGAGUUCGACAACGACAGGUCUGCCCGAGCUUCGUACACUGCCCGUGCAGUGUUUGCGUGAUCGAGCUGCCAGCACUCGAUCAAUGGUCCUCGAACCGAACAAUUUCAGCUUAUUUUUAGCGAGUUCCACAUUGCACUCCGACGACGUUCCCGUCUGUUCACCCUAUGCCCGAGCCCUAUGCCCGGGUUGGUUGCACCUAGCUUGACCUCGAUAAUUGGUGCAACCUUGGCAAUGGGUGGGUCCUUGGUCUCGCAGACGUUGCCGUUGCGCUGUGUGCAAACAACCCGAACCCGAAAGAAGAAACAGCAUAAACUGUCCACUCAACUGUACGCUCGUCUCAGCCCACCCGUCUUCCUCGGUCUGCAGCGAUUCGCUGGUGCAGGUGCCCACCGGUUGCUGCUUUCCCAGGAUGGGUGUGUGUACGAGCGGACCGACGGACCGCGACGCCGGUGACGACGGUACGAGCAAUCAGUGCAUCACGCGUUGACAGCUCUAACUAGGUCCCCGAGCACUGCCCGGGCACGCUUAAUGACGCAUCAAAAUUGCAAAUUUGGUUCAACAGUUGUUCCAACCUUGCUCUUGCACGUGGAGCGACGUUCUUUGGGGGAGAUGGGGGUAAAAAGGUGUGCAUUCUUGCGAGAGGACGUCAUCUGUACGCACUCUUGCGUACCCUUGUACCUUGUACACACACUCACAUCCAUAAUCCAAGAGACUGGUCCUGUAGUCGCGCGACGAAAUGAAAUAAAUCGUACGUUUUGUCCGCAAA